GUGUAUAAGAGACAGCCUACGGGAGGCAGCAGUGGGGAAUCUUGGACAAUGGGCGCAAGCCUGAUCCAGCCAUGCCGCGUGUGUGAAGAAGGCCUUCGGGUUGUAAAGCACUUUCAGUAGGGAGGAAGGCUUUGGGCUAAUACCCUGGAGUACUUGACGUUACCUACAGAAGAAGCACCGGCUAAUUUCGUGCCAGCAGCCGCGGUAAUACGAAAGGUGCGAGCGUUAAUCGGAAUUACUGGGCGUAAAGCGCGCGUAGGCGGUGUGUUAAGUCGGAUGUGAAAGCCCAGGGCUCAACCUUGGAAUUGCAUCCGAUACUGGCACGCUAGAGUGCAGUAGAGGGAGGUGGAAUUUCCGGUGUAGCGGUGAAAUGCGUAGAGAUCGGAAGGAACACCAGUGGCGAAGGCGGCCUCCUGGACUGACACUGACGCUGAGGUGCGAAAGCGUGGGGAGCAAACAGGAUUAGAUACCCGGGUAGUCGAAAG
This 485-nucleotide ribosomal RNA is filed under the name Mycobacterium tuberculosis. RNAcentral's name for it is "bacterial SSU rRNA". It matches the Rfam family "Bacterial small subunit ribosomal RNA", at positions 320 to 799 of the family's 1533-position model. Lineage: Bacteria; Bacillati; Actinomycetota; Actinomycetes; Mycobacteriales; Mycobacteriaceae. The record is from RNAcentral.